Molecule: ribosomal RNA, 502 nt
Filed under: uncultured bacterium
Lineage: Bacteria
Description: bacterial SSU rRNA
Rfam family: Bacterial small subunit ribosomal RNA
Source: RNAcentral
GUUUGAUCCUGGCUCAGGGUUAACGCUGGCGGCGCGCAUAACACAUGCAAGUCGAGCGAGGGCUUACUUCUCGCAAGAGAGGUGAGUUCCUAGCGGCGAACGGGUGAGUAACACGUGGGCAACCUUUCCUAUCGCGGGGGAUAACACCGGGAAACCGAUGCUAAUACCGCAUGUCGUCACCGGUCGCAUGGCUGGUGAAGAAAGCAGCAAUGCACGAUGGGGUGGGCCCGCGGCCUAUCAGCUAGUCGGUGGGGUAACGGCCUACCGAGGCGAUGACGGGUAGCUGGUCUGAGAGGACGGCCAGCCACACGGGGACUGAGACACGGCCCCGACUCCUACGGGAGGCAGCAGUGAGGAAUCUUCCGCAAUGGGCGAAAGCCUGACGCAGCAACGCCGCGUGGAGGAUGAAGUCCCUUGGGACGUAAACUCCUUUCGACCGGGAAGAUUAUGACGGUACCGGUGGAAGAAGCCCCGGCUAACUUCGUGCCAGCAGCCGCGGUAA